RNAcentral lists this ribosomal RNA (378 nucleotides) under Triticum aestivum (bread wheat). RNAcentral's name for it is "partial small subunit ribosomal RNA". Lineage: Eukaryota; Viridiplantae; Streptophyta; Magnoliopsida; Poales; Poaceae. The record is from RNAcentral.
AUGUUCUUGAUGGAUGCAGGCCCUGGUACCCCCAAAAUUUGUAUGCAAGAUGAGCUUACAGGACUGCCAAUCAAGCGAGACACUAGGUUUGAGAAUAAGGUGGGAUCCAAGAAUGUAGUGGCUGGUGAAUCACUGAUCAAAAAGUGGAUUUUUGAGAGAUUCUUCAUCGAUCUAGUGGCCGGUGAAUCACUGAUCAAAGAGCGAGCAGCCGCCAGGUUUAAUGAUUUUGUGGGAUCCCUGGAUGUAGCGGCUGGCGAACCGCUUCUUCUUCCACAAAGAUUUAGACAAAACCGAGCUUGGAUAGAACUGAAGAAGAUUUGGCAAACGAAGAAAAAGGUCAAAGGGUUUAUUAUAAAAAAAUCAAAGGAGGUUAUUUAG